This 431-nucleotide ribosomal RNA is filed under the name uncultured bacterium. RNAcentral's name for it is "partial 16S ribosomal RNA". It matches the Rfam family "Bacterial small subunit ribosomal RNA", at positions 338 to 795 of the family's 1533-position model. The record is from RNAcentral.
CCUACGGGUGGCAGCAGUGGGGAAUCUUGCGCAAUGGGCGAAAGCCUGACGCAGCGACGCCGCGUGAGUGAUGAAGGCCUUCGGGUUGUAAAGCUCUGGGGGAGAAGGUCCGGUACCCCUUUAGCAAGCACCGGCUAACUCUGUGCCAGCAGCCGCGGUAAGACAGAGGGUGCAAACGUUGUUCGGAAUUACUGGGCGUAAAGCGCGUGUAGGCUGCUCGGAAAGUCGGAUGUGAAAGCCCUGGGCUCAACCUAGGAAGUGCAUUCGAAACUUCCGAGCUGGAGUACUGGAGAGGAAGGCGGAAUUCUCGGUGUAGAGGUGAAAUUCGUAGAUAUCGAGAGGAACACCGGUGGCGAAGGCGGCCUUCUGGCAUAACUGACGCUGAGACGCGAAAGCGUGGGGAGCAAACAGGAUUAGAUACCCUUGUAGUC